CUCCCCAAGUAGGAUUCGAACCUACGACCAGUCG
Molecule: transfer RNA, 34 nt
Filed under: Dipelta elegans
Lineage: Eukaryota; Viridiplantae; Streptophyta; Magnoliopsida; Dipsacales; Caprifoliaceae
Description: partial tRNA-Asn
Source: RNAcentral